GAUGAACGCUAGCGGCAGGCCUAAUACAUGCAAGUCGAGGGGUAGUGGAGCUUGCUCCAUGAGACCGGCGCACAGGUGCGUAACGCGUAUGCAACCUACCUUGAUCUGGGGGAUAGCCCGAAGAAAUUCGGAUUAACACCGCAUAAAAUCACAGUACCGCAUGGUACAAUGAUCAAAUAUUUAUAGGAUUGAGAUGGGCA
Molecule: ribosomal RNA, 200 nt
Filed under: uncultured bacterium
Lineage: Bacteria
Description: partial 16S ribosomal RNA
Rfam family: Bacterial small subunit ribosomal RNA
Source: RNAcentral